This 254-nucleotide ribosomal RNA is filed under the name uncultured bacterium. Its description in RNAcentral is "partial 16S ribosomal RNA". It matches the Rfam family "Bacterial small subunit ribosomal RNA", at positions 524 to 777 of the family's 1533-position model. The record is from RNAcentral.
UACGAAGGGGGCUAGCGUUGCUCGGAAUCACUGGGCGUAAAGGGUGCGUAGGCGGGUCUUUAAGUCAGGGGUGAAAUCCUGGAGCUCAACUCCAGAACUGCCUUUGAUACUGAGGAUCUUGAGUUCGGGAGAGGUGAGUGGAACUGCGAGUGUAGAGGUGAAAUUCGUAGAUAUUCGCGAGAACACCAGUGGCGAAGGCGGCUCACUGGCCCGGUACUGACGCUGAGGUGCGAAAGCGUGGGGAGCAAACAGGG